UGGGGGGAGUAAGCUCCAUGGUCGAGAGGGAAACAGCCCAGAGCAUCGACUAAGGCCCCUAAGCGUACGCUAAGUGGGAAAGGAUGUGGAGUCGCACAGACAACCAGGAGGUUGGCUUAGAAGCAGCCACCCUUGAAAGAGUGCGUAAUAGCUCACUAGUCUAGUGAUUCCGCGCCGACAAUGUAGCGGGGCUCAAGCGUACCGCCGAAGUCGUGUCAUUGC
Molecule: non-coding RNA, 222 nt
Filed under: Streptomyces afghaniensis 772
Lineage: Bacteria; Bacillati; Actinomycetota; Actinomycetes; Kitasatosporales; Streptomycetaceae
Description: Bacterial large subunit ribosomal RNA
Rfam family: Bacterial large subunit ribosomal RNA
Source: Rfam by way of RNAcentral